GGGGGCGUGGCGGAAUUGGCAGACGCAGCGGACUUAAAAUCCGCCUCCUUCGGGAUUGAGGGUUCGAGUCCCUCCGCCCCUACCA
RNAcentral lists this transfer RNA (85 nucleotides) under Eggerthellaceae bacterium. Its description in RNAcentral is "tRNA-Leu". It matches the Rfam family "tRNA". Rfam says of the family: Transfer RNA (tRNA) molecules are approximately 80 nucleotides in length. Lineage: Bacteria; Bacillati; Actinomycetota; Coriobacteriia; Eggerthellales; Eggerthellaceae. The record is from RNAcentral.